UACGAAGGGGGCUAGCGUUGUUCGGAAUUACUGGGCGUAAAGCGCACGUAGGCGGAUACUUAAGUCGGGGGUGAAAUCCUGGAGCUCAACUCCAGAACUGCCUUCGAUACUGGCGAUCUUGAGUCCGGAAGAGGUGAGUGGAACUCCUAGUGUAGAGGUGGAAUUCGUAGAUAUUAGGAAGAACACCAGUGGCGAAGGCGGCUCACUGGUCCGGUACUGACGCUGAGGUGCGAAAGCGUGGGGAGCAAACAGG
RNAcentral lists this ribosomal RNA (253 nucleotides) under uncultured bacterium. RNAcentral describes it as "partial 16S ribosomal RNA". It matches the Rfam family "Bacterial small subunit ribosomal RNA", at positions 524 to 776 of the family's 1533-position model. The record is from RNAcentral.